RNAcentral lists this ribosomal RNA (253 nucleotides) under uncultured bacterium. Its description in RNAcentral is "partial 16S ribosomal RNA". It matches the Rfam family "Bacterial small subunit ribosomal RNA", at positions 524 to 776 of the family's 1533-position model. The record is from RNAcentral.
UACGUAGGGUGCGAGCGUUAAUCGGAAUUACUGGGCGUAAAGCGUGCGCAGGCGGUUAUGUAAGACAGAGGUGAAAUCCCCGGGCUCAACCUGGGAACUGCCUUUGUGACUGCAUGACUAGAGUACGGCAGAGGGGGAUGGAAUUCCGCGUGUAGCAGUGAAAUGCGUAGAUAUGCGGAGGAACACCGAUGGCGAAGGCAAUCCCCUGGGCCUGUACUGACGCUCAUGCACGAAAGCGUGGGGAGCAAACAGG